Salvia hispanica is the source of this 97-nucleotide small nucleolar RNA. RefSeq annotates it as small nucleolar RNA Z43. NCBI's taxonomy places the organism in Eukaryota, Viridiplantae, Streptophyta, Magnoliopsida, Lamiales, Lamiaceae. The record is from RefSeq and is a predicted model, not a curated record.
AAUUAAUGAUGAGUUGUGAGAGGUCCUCGUUCGUAGUAAUGGCAUACUAUUUGCUUUGCCAACUAUACUGUUAUAUCACCACUCAUAACCCAUAAAC